GUGGGGAAUCUUGCGCAAUGGGCGAAAGCCUGACGCAGCCAUGCCGCGUGAAUGAUGAAGGUCUUAGGAUUGUAAAAUUCUUUCACCGGGGAAGAUAAUGACGGUACCCGGAGAAGAAGCCCCGGCUAACUUCGUGCCAGCAGCCGCGGUAAUACGAAGGGGGCUAGCGUUGCUCGGAAUUACUGGGCGUAAAGGGCGCGUAGGCGGACAUUUAAGUCAGAGGUGAAAGCCCAGGGCUCAACCUUGGAAUUGCCUUUGAUACUGGAUGUCUUGAGUUCGGGAGAGGUGAGUGGAAUGCCGAGUGUAGAGGUGAAAUUCGUAGAUAUUCGGCGGAACACCAGUGGCGAAGGCGACUCACUGGCCCGAUACUGACGCUGAGGCGCGAAAGCGUGGGGAGCAAACAGGAUUAGAUACCCUGGUAGUCC
This 425-nucleotide ribosomal RNA is filed under the name uncultured bacterium. Its description in RNAcentral is "bacterial SSU rRNA". It matches the Rfam family "Bacterial small subunit ribosomal RNA", at positions 354 to 796 of the family's 1533-position model. The record is from RNAcentral.